ACUAUCUUGAUUCCUGCUUCAUCCUCUUUCCAUUUUGUUGGGCAAACUGCGGCUCAGAAAGAUAAAGGCCUUCCCCGCACCGGAAAAACUCCUAGGCCGUGCCCAAAGCUCCGCACGGUCGGGAAAACUGGGAACUGAGGGAGCCAAGAGACCAGAACGGGUUAAGAUCAUGAAGCUGCGGAGCACCGCCAAGGCCUAGAGAGACCGGGCGCCUCGAACCCGGUUCCCCCUUGCUCCCAGCUUCCGGGCGGGGCGCGACUUCCGGUUCCGGCGGCGGGCUACAAAGCUUGGCGCCGGGAAGCUGGUUUCCCGUUCCUGCAGCCGGCGGCGGUGUUUCGCGUGUCAUUGCCAGCCGCCCCCAUCCCCCCGCCCUCGGAGGGGCACCUGCGCAGGAGUCUGAGAAAUCCUUUUCCAGAGUUCUAGAAUGGAGACUGAAGGGUACCCAGAGAUACAAAGAAAUAGAGAAAUCCAGAAUGAUGAAAUAAGGUCAUCACCAAAUGAGAGGAUGGCUGGGGAGCCAGAAGUUGUCCUGAUAGCACUUCCCCAGGUCCAGGUUCCACCAGAGAGCCUCGAUGAAAACUCUGCAGAAGACCUUGAGACUGUGCCACGAGGGAGUCCUCUCAACCCUGCGGCCUCCAGGCAGAGGUUCCGGCAGUUCCGCUAUGAGGAUGCAGCUGGCCCCAGGGAUGUCCUCAGACAUCUCCAGGAGCUUGCUGGACAGUGGCUGAGACCUGAUAUUCACACAAAGGAGCAGAUUGUGGAAAUACUGGUGCAGGAGCAAUUCCAGGCCUUCCUCCCUGAGGAGCUCAGAGCUCCGGCACAGAGAUGUCAGCCUGGGGUCAGAAUCACUGGCUAAAUCCUACUGCUUGCUUCUUGCUCAGCCUACAUGUGAGAAGUAACCAACGGCUCUCUUUGUUAUAAGAUCCAACUGCAGUCAUGGGAAAUCUGAACCUCGGUUUUCUUUGAGCUUGCCUUUGACUAGCUGUAAUAAGAAUUAACCAAAACCUUGUUUUGGCUGAAGCAGCUCUAUUUCCUGGGACUGUGAACUCCAGAAUGAGUUUCCCUGCCCUCUUGUAAGGACAGUCAGCCUGCUGCUUGUUUUUGCUCUGCUGAAUGCCUCCUUUUUUGCACUCUGUGACAUGCUUUAAUAUAUUGUUUUUAUGUAUCCAAAGGGGUGAUUGCUUCAACUUUAAUAUUCUUGAUUCUUGUUGUGGUGGCAUGAAUGGAAGCUUCUGUAACCCCACUAGUAACUCAUUUGGGAUGUCCUUGAAAUAUUAAAGUUCUGUUUUU
Balaenoptera musculus (blue whale) is the source of this 1290-nucleotide long non-coding RNA. RefSeq lists it as uncharacterized. The transcript is spliced from 2 exons. The record is from RefSeq and is a predicted model, not a curated record. NCBI's taxonomy places the organism in Eukaryota, Metazoa, Chordata, Mammalia, Artiodactyla, Balaenopteridae.